GGAGUUAGCCGGUGCUUCUUCUGCGAGUAACGUCACAGAUGUAAGGUAUUAACUUACACCCUUUCCUCCUCGCUGAAAGUGCUUUACAACCCGAAGGCCUUCUUCACACACGCGGCAUGGCUGCAUCAGGGUUUCCCCCAUUGUGCAAUAUUCCCCACUGCUGCCUCCCGUAGGAGUCUGGGCCGUGUCUCAGUCCCAGUGUGGCUGAUCAUCCUCUCAGACCAGCUAGGGAUCGUCGCCUAGGUGAGCCUUUACCUCACCUACUAGCUAAUCCCACCUGGGCUUAUCCAUCAGCGCAAGGCCCGAAGGUCCCCUGCUUUCCCCCGUAGGGCGUAUGCGGUAUUAGCAGUCGUUUCCAACUGUUAUCCCCCACAAAUGGGCAAAUUCACAGGCAUUACUCACCCGUCCGCCGCUCGUCAUCUUCAAAAGCAAGCUUUUGAAAUGUUACCGCUCGACUUGCAUGUGUUAGGCCUGCCGCCAGCGUUCAAUCUGAGCCAGGAUCAAACUCUGA
Molecule: ribosomal RNA, 511 nt
Filed under: uncultured bacterium
Lineage: Bacteria
Description: partial 16S ribosomal RNA
Source: RNAcentral